RNAcentral lists this non-coding RNA (21 nucleotides) under Arabidopsis thaliana (thale cress). Lineage: Eukaryota; Viridiplantae; Streptophyta; Magnoliopsida; Brassicales; Brassicaceae. The record is from RNAcentral.
UGAUUUCUGGAAACUCUUCUC